GCAGCACAAGCUGCAAGAGCUGCUGUUGAACUCUCAAGAUAUGAUUCUCAGGACAUUGAACGGGAUGAUCCUGGCGAUUCUAGUCAUGGAAAAGGAACUCUGUAUGAUUCCGAUGGGUCAUUGACACCUGAACUUCAAGGCAGAUAUGAAGCUUCAGAGGAGAACAAGCAAGCUGCAAGAGCUGCUGUUGAACUCUCAAGAUAUGAUUCUCAGGACAUUGAACGGGAUGAUCAUGGCGAUUCUAGUCAUGGACAAGGGACUCUGUAUGAUUCCGAUGGGUCAUUGAUACCUGAACUUCAAGGCAGAUAUGAAGCUUCAGAUGAGAACAAGCAAGCUGCAAGAGCUGCUGUUAAACUCUCAAGAUAUGAUUCUCAGGACAUUGAAUGGGAUGAUCAUGGUGAUUCUAGUCAUGGACAAGGGACUCUGUAUGAUUCCGAUGGGUCAUUGACACCUGAACUUCAAGGCAGAUAUGAAGCUUCAGAGGAGAACAAGCUAUCAAAUGAUAGUUUGGUAUUUAACGAAAUAUACACGAUUGACAAUAUCAGUUCUGAAUCAGAAGAUGAAAACAUGAAAGGAAACGGAAGAGU
This 587-nucleotide long non-coding RNA is filed under the name Populus trichocarpa (black cottonwood). Its description in RNAcentral is "long non-coding RNA (PTRI_LNC001198)". Lineage: Eukaryota; Viridiplantae; Streptophyta; Magnoliopsida; Malpighiales; Salicaceae. The record is from RNAcentral.